AAUGCAGUCGAGCGAACAGACAAGGAGCUUGCUCCUUUGACGUUAGCGGCGGACGGGUGAGUAACACGUGGGUAACCUACCUAUAAGACUGGGAUAACUUCGGGAAACCGGAGCUAAUACCGGAUAAUAUUUCGAACCGCAUGGUUCGAUAGUGAAAGAUGGUUUUGCUAUCACUUAUAGAUGGACCCGCGCCGUAUUAGCUAGUUGGUAAGGUAACGGCUUACCAAGGCGACGAUACGUAGCCGACCUGAGAGGGUGAUCGGCCACACUGGAACUGAGACACGGUCCAGACUCCUACGGGAGGCAGCAGUAGGGAAUCUUCCGCAAUGGGCGAAAGCCUGACGGAGCAACGCCGCGUGAGUGAUGAAGGUCUUCGGAUCGUAAAACUCUGUUAUUAGGGAAGAACAUACGUGUAAGUAACUAUGCACGUCUUGACGGUACCUAAUCAGAAAGCCACGGCUAACUACGUGCCAGCAGCCGCGGUAAUACGUAGGUGGCAAGCGUUAUCCGGAAUUAUUGGGCGUAAAGCGCGCGUAGGCGGUUUUUUAAGUCUGAUGUGAAAGCCCACGGCUCAACCGUGGAGGGUCAUUGGAAACUGGAAAACUUGAGUGCAGAAGAGGAAAGUGGAAUUCCAUGUGUAGCGGUGAAAUGCGCAGAGAUAUGGAGGAACACCAGUGGCGAAGGCGACUUUCUGGUCUGUAACUGACGCUGAUGUGCGAAAGCGUGGGGAUCAAACAGGAUUAGAUACCCUGGUAGUCCACGCCGUAAACGAUGAGUGCUAAGUGUUAGGGGGUUUCCGCCCCUUAGUGCUGCAGCUAACGCAUUAAGCACUCCGCCUGGGGAGUACGACCGCAAGGUUGAAACUCAAAGGAAUUGACGGGGACCCGCACAAGCGGUGGAGCAUGUGGUUUAAUUCGAAGCAACGCGAAGAACCUUACCAAAUCUUGACAUCCUUUGACAACUCUAGAGAUAGAGCCUUCCCCUUCGGGGGACAAAGUGACAGGUGGUGCAUGGUUGUCGUCAGCUCGUGUCGUGAGAUGUUGGGUUAAGUCCCGCAACGAGCGCAACCCUUAAGCUUAGUUGCCAUCAUUAAGUUGGGCACUCUAAGUUGACUGCCGGUGACAAACCGGAGGAAGGUGGGGAUGACGUCAAAUCAUCAUGCCCCUUAUGAUUUGGGCUACACACGUGCUACAAUGGACAAUACAAAGGGCAGCGAAACCGCGAGGUCAAGCAAAUCCCAUAAAGUUGUUCUCAGUUCGGAUUGUAGUCUGCAACUCGACUACAUGAAGCUGGAAUCGCUAGUAAUCGUAGAUCAGCAUGCUACGGUGAAUACGUUCCCGGGUCUUGUACACACCGCCCGUCACACCACGAGAGUUUGUAACACCCGAAGCCGGUGGAGUAACCA
Molecule: ribosomal RNA, 1405 nt
Filed under: Staphylococcus haemolyticus
Lineage: Bacteria; Bacillati; Bacillota; Bacilli; Caryophanales; Staphylococcaceae
Also listed under: 1 other name
Description: bacterial SSU rRNA
Rfam family: Bacterial small subunit ribosomal RNA
Source: RNAcentral